Molecule: ribosomal RNA, 770 nt
Filed under: uncultured Fusobacterium sp.
Lineage: Bacteria; Fusobacteriati; Fusobacteriota; Fusobacteriia; Fusobacteriales; Fusobacteriaceae
Description: bacterial SSU rRNA
Rfam family: Bacterial small subunit ribosomal RNA
Source: RNAcentral
ACGCGUAAGAACUUGCCUCUUAGACCGGGACAACAUCUGGAAACGGAUGCUAAUACCGGAUGUUAUGGUUUUUUCGCAUGGAGGAAUCAUGAAAGCUAGAUGCGCUAAGAGAGAGCUUUGCGUCCCAUUAGCUCGUUGGUGAGGUAACGGCCCACCAAGGCAAUGAUGGGUAGCCGGCCUGAGAGGGUGAACGGCCACAAGGGGACUGAGACACGGCCCUUACUCCUACGGGAGGCAGCAGUGGGGAAUAUUGGACAAUGGACCACAAGUCUGAUCCAGCAAUUCUGUGUGCACGAUGACGUUUUUCGGAAUGUAAAGUGCUUUCAGUCGGGAAGAAGUCAGUGACGGUACCGACAGAAGAAGCGACGGCUAAAUACGUGCCAGCAGCCGCGGUAAUACGUAUGUCGCAAGCGUCAUCCGGAUUUAUUGGGCGUAAAGCGCGUCUAGGCGGCAAGGAAAGUCUGAUGUGAAAAUGCGGAGCUCAACUCCGUAUGGCGUUGGAAACUGCCUUACUAGAGUACUGGAGAGGUAGGCGGAACUACAAGUGUAGAGGUGAAAUUCGUAGAUAUUUGUAGGAAUGCCGAUGGGGAAGCCAGCCUACUGGACAGAUACUGACGCUAAAGCGCGAAAGCGUGGGUAGCAAACAGGAUUAGAUACCCUGGUAGUCCACGCUGUAAACGAUGAUUACUAGGUGUUGGGGGUCAAACCUCAGCGCCCAAGCUAACGCGAUAAGUAAUCCGCCUGGGGAGUACGUACGCAAGUAUGAAACU